This 1323-nucleotide long non-coding RNA is filed under the name Gadus morhua (Atlantic cod). RNAcentral's name for it is "lncRNA (ENSGMOG00000036206.1)". Lineage: Eukaryota; Metazoa; Chordata; Actinopteri; Gadiformes; Gadidae. The record is from RNAcentral.
AUGUUGCCUCUUUCCCCCGCUCAGCCCGGUGGCUGUAGGGUGGCGGUCGGAUGGCGUGUUCACAUGGCCUCUGGUUCACCUGCUUCUAAGAAGCGGCGAUCCUUGGAGCCUCGUGGACGGAUCAGAGACUCGUUGCACGAGCCCGUGGAUACGGCCGCUUGUACCGGUCUCCUGGUUCCCCACAUUAUAGGUGAGGAGAGGGGUCCGCGCGCUGUGGCUACAGCCUGCGGACAGCGCAUGCGCAUAGGUGCGGCGGCCGGACGGCUCGCUCCCUGUUCAGCGGUCACGAGCGCAACGUCUAGACAGCUCGUUGUUUUUACAGCGGCUGGUUCUGGUACGUCUCCUACGCUCGCUGAGCCUCCUCCCUUUCAUGGGAAGCCCCCCUUGGUUCACACGCAGUGUGGAGGCGGUAGGGGCAGAGGAAUACGGGUUAUUCCUGGACGGUCUUCCUCAGCUGUCGGCUCGCCCUCUCUCCAACCGCUAUGCGUGUUGGCAAGAGCGGUGCGUUCUGCCAUCGUGGUUGGACACCACGUUGAGAUGGGGCCAUCCCAUACAGUUCAAGCGUCGUCCCCCACCCUUUAUGGGGUUGGUGGAGACCACGCUACGGGACCCGGCUGCGAGCACAGCUCUGGCAGCAGAGGUGGCACGUCUCUUGGUAAAGGGGGCCAUCACUGUCGUUCCCCCCCACGAGUCUCACCUAGGGUUUUAUUCCCGCUACUUCCUGGUUUCCAAGAAGUCAGGGGAAAAGAGACCUAUUCUGGAUCUUCGCGUGUUCAACAGAUUCGUUGCCACGAGGAAGUUCAGAAUGCUCACUGUCGGAGCGUUGUUCCGGUGUUUGAGAGAGGGCGAUUGGUUCACAUCCCUGGAUCUCAAGGAUGCUUACUUCCACGUCCCUGUUCGGCAGGCGCACAGUUUCUCCGCUUUGCCUUUAUGGGGAUGGCAUACGAGUACCAGUGUCUGCCGUUUGGCUAUUCCCUGGCUCCGCGCACCUUCUCGAAGUGUGUGGAGACGGCGUUGGAACCGCUCAGGCGUCAGGGAAAGAGGAUUCUCUUCUACCUAGACGACCUGCUUAUUCUGAGCAACUCAGAAGAGACUGCGAGAAGGGACACCAUGUUGGUGAUAAACCAUCUCUCCUUCCUGGGUUUUGCCAUCAACUGGGAGAAGAGCUCCCCGCUCCCCAGCCGGCAGACAGUCUACUUGGGGCUUUGCCUAGACUCAGCCACCAUGACUGCGAUGCUUUCGCCUCCUCGGCGAGACGCCAUCCUGUCGACGCUCUCCCGUUUUCGCGUUCGCAGAAACGUGACCGCAUCAUGCGCCUGUUAG